Long non-coding RNA from Passer domesticus (house sparrow), 3129 nucleotides. RefSeq lists it as uncharacterized. The record is from RefSeq and is a predicted model, not a curated record. The transcript is spliced from 3 exons. NCBI's taxonomy places the organism in Eukaryota, Metazoa, Chordata, Aves, Passeriformes, Passeridae.
AGCUGGGGCGGCAGAGACGGGCACACCCCAGGGUGGAGCAGCAAACAAAAUGUAGCAGAAACUCCGCAGCUGUAGCAGGAGCUGCGGGGUGUCCUGCUGGGCAAGGGACACUGAGUUUAAAUUGUAGCAAAAAAGCUGGAGGAAACAGUGCAGGAAACACCCAGGCUGGGCAGCAGCCGCAGGGAUUCUGUAAGCAGAUGCUGCACACAGACAGGAGACGCGGGCUCUGGGAAGGGGGAGAGAGUUGGGGUUCCAGGUUUUUCCCCUGAAGCACCUGAGCAGAUGGUGAGGGUCCUUUCCAGUGUGAUCAGGUUUUAAUAAGGUCCCAGUUCAGUGGCUGCUCUUAGGAGCAAAGGCUCACCCGCAGCAGAAGAAGCAGCACAGGGCUGGACGCCACGGCGGCAGAGAAUUCUCCUCAUAGCAGCAGCAACUUGACCAUUCCCCUCCAAUCUGAAAGUGAGAUGGGACAAAGGCCAGCCCCUCAUCCCCAGCCAAAAUCUCAUGGCAUGUCUGCCCUUCCAACAAGAAAACCCCCCAGAGGAAGAGGCGGUGAAUCCAGACAGAGGUACCAUUCAAGGCCUCAUUCCCUUCAAGCAGAAAAAGUAUCUGUGUGGAACUAACCCACCAUUCACCAAGAAUUUUUAUUCUUUAUGCACUUCUUUUCUCCUAAGAUCCAAUCUCUACAUAAGACUCACUAGAAACAAGACAAUUUGACCUUGACUGAAACAUCCUGCAUGUCCCAGAGGGUUAUGUUUUACAGUGAAGAAAGGCUACACCCUCUCUAUUCAAAAGAAAAGAACUUCUGAGCAAAGUCACUGAAAGGUAAUUUUAAAAGGCUCACAUUAAUGACAGCUUGAAAAAUAGAUAUCCAGGAAUGUCUUCUCAAGUCACCUGUCAACAAUCUUGUUCUCACCAGAGGCACUUAAAGCAAGACCUGUACUUCUCACUAUGAGUUUAGCCAUCUUUAGAGAACUUUUUUACUUUGUAUCCUGGGAUGAAAAAUAAAAGAUGUUUGGAUAUGGCAGCUGGGUAGAGCAUCUCACAGUUGGGUCUCUCUCACCAAAGCUUAGCUCCAAGCUUAAAUUUAAUAUGGACAUCAUCUUAAGAGGGAAAUGAGACAUAAAAUUGUCAGGAUAUGCCUACUACAAUCAGAGAUACAGCCAGUAACAGCAAGGCCAUGAUUUGAAAAUUUGUGGCUAUGAUUUGAAAAUUCAUGGGUAAUCUCCAGUAUUAUGUUUCUUAAGUGUGUCUUAAGAAAGAAGAAUAAGUGACAGCCAUCUGAUUCAUACAUGGUUAGGGUCAGGAGGAGCUAUUUCUUUUCUGGGUGCCUUCACACACACAUGCCCUGGUCCUGAUAACCUCUGCAUUGUGACAGAUGCAAAAAAUAGCAAAUCACCCAUCAGCCUCUCCAACAGGGACUACCCAGACACAAAGAGAAAAUCUCCCAACGUUAGGAGAGGAGACAUCCCAGACCAACAGUGUUCCUUGGGUUUGGGGUUUUUUUUAACUUGGCAUUGAGGUUAGUCAUUAAAUGUUAGAAUUGAAUAUAAGAAAAUACAAUACAGAACACAGAAUAAAUGAAGAAGCCAAAAGAACACCAAGUUAUUGCAGCAUAUCACACCUCAGUUCAUGAACUAGGUGGUCUCUGUCAGCUUCAGACAGCCUGUUCCAGCAAAAGAAAUCCUGUAAUUGGCUGGGUUUGCUCUGGGGGAAAAUUCCUUCCUAGUCCUUAAAAAUUACAAGGCAGCAAAUUGCUUUAAAGUUUGCUACUGCAAAUGACUAAGCCCUUUUCAUUUAUUUCCUAAUACUUUUCUAUUAGAACUUGGAUAUUAAUGUUAAAUUACAUUGUCUCACUGAAAAGCCCCAUUACAAAUGACAUAAAUCUGAGGCACAGGAACAACUGCUCCCAGGACAGUAUUAAGAAAUCCCCUUUAAAUAUUUUUGCAGUUGCCAUAACCUGUUUCUGAGAGGACUGAAUUCUUUCUCCUUUAUUUCUUCCAAAACACACACUGUGUGGAUUAGCAUAUCUUCUACUCUAUGCUCUUGUUUUUUUUAAUUAGACACCUAGCACACAAAACAAAAGUUGCAUUCAAGACACCCAUCAGACUUGUCUGCAUUGCUAAACCUCAAUGAUUUUAUUGCCUGGAGGAAUAAAACCUGUGGAGCACAGCCUUCGUUCUGCAUAUAAGUCCUAUUUUGCAGAUCCAAUGUUGAAAUGUCCUGCUCUGUUUGUACAUGGGCAAUUGAGCAGGAAAACCAGUGGAUCAGUUAUUGUCUCACAGGGUAUACAAGGAAUGAAAGAAUCAUGAAAUGAAUGUCCUUACAAUGGGAACUGUUUGAGUCCUACAGCUGAGUCCUCCUGGCUGUGCCUUCCCUUAAAAGAAAAGAAGAAAUUUCCCUCCAAAUAUCAGUUCAACUUCCUACAGUUCUGUCAUCUUGUACUUUGGGCAUGAUGGAUUUCCUCAGGAAACCUUCCAUUGUCUGUCCACUCACAGGACACAGACAACAUUUCCUACUGAUGUGUUGUGGUUACAGCUGACUUCAUGGGGAUUCCAACAGGAAUGAUACCUGGGUGACCACAUUGUCAUUGUUAUUUGGAGAACAGAAGGGAAAUGAAAACUCCCUGACAUGUUGGAGAAGAGAUGGCUGGGGAGGGCCGAAACAUCUCAGCAGCAGCUCUCCUGCAGGCGAAGUCUGACUGCAUGAAGAAGCAGUCCCUCCACUCUGCAUCCUUUCUCUGCUCUAGGCAAGGUUUGAAGCCCACCAGGGAAGGCACUUCAGGAGCAACCAGUGACAGUGAGCUGAAACAUUACCAAGUCACUGCAGCACAGGGAGCUUUGUUAUGACAACCUGUAGAGGCUACAAAGGAAGCCACUGGAUGCCCUCCAACCACAAAGCAACAUGGAUAUUUCUGCUUGAAGCCCAGACUGUUCUUGCAGCUUCUCAUCAACAGUAAACAUUGUUUUUCAGAGCGACAGAGGAUGAAUAAUUUCUCUUUUAAAGCUUUAGAGGAGGAGGUUGAGUGAGCAGAAAUACACAUAUCACCAGGGAAGAGAAACAAAUCUUUGUUUUUCUGCAAAGAAUAGACAGAACUGAUUUCUCUCAAUAAAGACAAUGUCAUCAAAAUGA